Molecule: ribosomal RNA, 468 nt
Filed under: uncultured bacterium
Lineage: Bacteria
Description: partial 16S ribosomal RNA
Rfam family: Bacterial small subunit ribosomal RNA
Source: RNAcentral
GACGAACGCUGGCGGCGUGCUUAACACAUGCAAGUCGAACGGAAAGGCCCUGCUUUUGUGGGGUGCUCGAGUGGCGAACGGGUGAGUAACACGUGAGUAACCUGCCCUUUACUUUGGUAUAACUUCAGGAAACUGGGGCUAAUACCGGAUAGGAGCUCCUGCUGCAUGGUGGGGGUUGGAAAGUUUCGGCGGUUGGGGAUGGACUCGCGGCUUAUCAGCUUGUUGGUGGGGUAGUGGCUUACCAAGGCUUUGACGGGUAGCCGGCCUGAGAGGGUGACCGGCCACAGUGGGACUGAGAUACGGCCCAGACUCCUACGGGAGGCAGCAGUGGGGAAUAUUGCACAAUGGGCGGAAGCCUGAUGCAGCAACGCCGCGUGCGGGAUGACGGCCUUCGGGUUGUAAACCGCUUUCGCCUGUGACGAAGCGUGAGUGACGGUAAUGGGUAAAGAAGCACCGGCUAACUACGUG